RNAcentral lists this transfer RNA (76 nucleotides) under Erysipelotrichaceae bacterium. RNAcentral describes it as "tRNA-Thr". It matches the Rfam family "tRNA". From Rfam's summary of the family: Transfer RNA (tRNA) molecules are approximately 80 nucleotides in length. Their secondary structure includes four short double-helical elements and three loops (D, anti-codon, and T loops). Further hydrogen bonds mediate the characteristic L-shaped molecular structure. tRNAs have two regions of fundamental functional importance: the anti-codon, which is responsible for specific mRNA codon recognition, and the 3' end, to which the tRNAs corresponding amino acid is attached (by aminoacyl-tRNA synthetases). tRNAs cope with the degeneracy of the genetic code in two manners: having more than one tRNA (with a specific anti-codon) for a particular amino acid; and 'wobble' base-pairing, i.e. permitting non-standard base-pairing at the 3rd anti-codon position. Lineage: Bacteria; Bacillati; Bacillota; Erysipelotrichia; Erysipelotrichales; Erysipelotrichaceae. RNAcentral also lists the same sequence under 1 other name. The record is from RNAcentral.
GCCGGUUUAACUCAGAUGGUAGAGUAGCUCAUUCGUAAUGAGCAAGUCGUAGGUUCGAGUCCUAUAACCGGCACCA